Small nucleolar RNA from Otolemur garnettii (small-eared galago), 101 nucleotides. Lineage: Eukaryota; Metazoa; Chordata; Mammalia; Primates; Galagidae. The record is from Ensembl.
ACCCUGUUGUCGUUCACAAGAGUGAUGACUGGGUUUUCAUGCUCGUGUGACACGCACUCCCUGAAACCUUGUUACGGAGUCAGCAUAUCAGCCCUCCGAUG